RNAcentral lists this ribosomal RNA (308 nucleotides) under uncultured archaeon. RNAcentral's name for it is "bacterial SSU rRNA". It matches the Rfam family "Archaeal small subunit ribosomal RNA", at positions 1 to 315 of the family's 1478-position model. The record is from RNAcentral.
UUCCGGUUGAUCCUGCCAGACCCGACUGCUAUCAGAGUGGGACUAAGCCAUGCGAGUCAACGCCGCAAGGCGUGGCAUACGGCUCAGUAACACGUAGUCAACAUGCCCAAAGGACGUGGAUAACCUCGGGAAACUGAGGAUAAACCGCGAUAGGCCAAGGUUUCUGGGAUGGACCAUGGCUGAAAUCUAUAUGGCCUUUGGAUUGGACUGCGGCCGAUCAGGCUGUUGGUGAGGUAAUGGCCCACCAAACCCUGUACCGGUACGGGCUUUGAGAGAAGGAGCCCCGAGAUGGGCACUGAGACAAGGGC